Molecule: ribosomal RNA, 585 nt
Filed under: uncultured bacterium
Lineage: Bacteria
Description: bacterial SSU rRNA
Rfam family: Bacterial small subunit ribosomal RNA
Source: RNAcentral
CCUACGGGAGGCAGCAGUGGGGAAUUUUGGACAAUGGGCGCAAGCCUGAUCCAGCAAUGCCGCGUGAGUGAAGAAGGCCUUCGGGUUGUAAAGCUCUUUUGUCAGGGAAGAAACGGUGGGAGCUAAUAUCUUCCACUAAUGACGGUACCUGAAGAAUAAGCACCGGCUAACUACGUGCCAGCAGCCGCGGUAAUACGUAGGGUGCAAGCGUUAAUCGGAAUUACUGGGCGUAAAGCGUGCGCAGGCGGUUUUGUAAGUCUGUCGUGAAAGCCCCGGGCUCAACCUGGGAAUUGCGAUGGAGACUGCAAGGCUUGAAUCUGGCAGAGGGGGGUUAGAAUUCCACGUGUAGCAGUGAAAUGCGUAGAGAUGUGGAGGAACACCGAUGGCGAAGGCAGCCCCCUGGGUCAAGAUUGACGCUCAUGCACGAAAGCGUGGGGAGCAAACAGGAUUAGAUACCCUGGUAGUCCACGCCCUAAACGAUGUCUACUAGUUGUCGGGUUUUAAUUAACUUGGUAACGCAGCUAACGCGUGAAGUAGACCGCCUGGGGAUACGGUCGCAAGNUUAAAACUCAAAGGAAUUGACGG